This 555-nucleotide long non-coding RNA is filed under the name Homo sapiens (human). RNAcentral's name for it is "non-protein coding lnc-ZNF26-2:1". Lineage: Eukaryota; Metazoa; Chordata; Mammalia; Primates; Hominidae. The record is from RNAcentral.
UCCGGAUUGGAAGCCCCAAGGAUUCUGAGAGCCCCGCUAAUCUGGGGAUGACUCCUAGGAGUAGAAGACGGUCCAUCUUAGUUGUCACGAGUAUCUCACUUCUUGGAAUCCGGCGGCGUUCACGUGUGUGCUCCAGAGAAGGGCGCCAGAGGGUAUUCCCUGAAAGUGAAAGGUCGGCGAAAGAGGAGUAAAGACGGCGAGACGCGUCCACGCAGGGGGAGUCUGUGCGGUUUGGAGGAACGCGCCAAUGUCUGCACUCAUGAGGAGCCCCCAAGGGCGGUUUUAAGAGGGUGAAGCAGGACCGGGCGCAGUGACUUACGCCUGUAAUCUAAGUGCUUUGGAAGGCCUAGGCAGGAGGAUCUCGAGCCCAGGAGUUCGAGAUUAGCCUGAGACCUCAUCGCUACCAAAAUAAAUAAAGUAGGCAUCCAUUUGUGUAAAACAAACCAUAUAUACACACAUAUAUACAUAUAUAAACAUUUGUAUAUAUAGGUAUAGGCAUAGUUAUCUAUACCUUGUAAACCAAAAAUAAAAUUGUAAGCCUCCCCAACCAACUGA